This 253-nucleotide ribosomal RNA is filed under the name uncultured bacterium. RNAcentral's name for it is "partial 16S ribosomal RNA". It matches the Rfam family "Bacterial small subunit ribosomal RNA", at positions 524 to 776 of the family's 1533-position model. The record is from RNAcentral.
UACGUAGGGUGCGAGCGUUAAUCGGAAUUACUGGGCGUAAAGCGUGCGCAGGCGGUUCGUUAUGUCCGUUGUGAAAGCCCCGGGCUCAACCUGGGAAUGGCAAUGGAAACUGGCGGGCUCGAGUGUGGCAGAGGGGGGUGGAAUUCCGCGUGUAGCAGUGAAAUGCGUAGAGAUGCGGAGGAACACCGAUGGCGAAGGCAGCCCCCUGGGCUAACACUGACGCUCAGGCACGAAAGCGUGGGGAGCAAACAGG